GACAAACGCUGGCGGCGUGCCUAAUACAUGCAAGUUGAGCGCUGAAGGUUGGUACUUGUACCAACUGGAUGAGCAGCGAACGGGUGAGUAACGCGUGGGGAAUCUGCCUUUGAGCGGGGGACAACAUUUGGAAACGAAUGCUAAUACCGCAUAAAAACUUUAAACACAAGUUUUAAGUUUGAAAGAUGCAAUUGCAUCACUCAAAGAUGAUCCCGCGUUGUAUUAGCUAGUUGGUGAGGUAAAGGCUCACCAAGGCGAUGAUAUAUAGCCGACCUGAGAGGGUGAUCGGCCACAUUGGGACUGAGACACGGCCCAAACUCCUACGGGAGGCAGCAGUAGGGAAUCUUCGGCAAUGGACGAAAGUCUGACCGAGCAACGCCGCGUGAGUGAAGAAGGUUUUCGGAUCGUAAAACUCUGUUGGUAGAGAAGAACGUUGGUGAGAGUGGAAAGCUCAUCAAGUGACGGUAACUACCCAGAAAGGGACGGCUAACUACGUG
RNAcentral lists this ribosomal RNA (497 nucleotides) under uncultured bacterium. RNAcentral's name for it is "partial 16S ribosomal RNA". It matches the Rfam family "Bacterial small subunit ribosomal RNA", at positions 28 to 507 of the family's 1533-position model. The record is from RNAcentral.